AUUGUCAGAUGCAGUUUUCACUGUGAGGGGCCUCAGGGAAAGGAAGCAUGUGGUGGGGGCGUGAAAAGACGUCGUUAACAAACAUACAACAUCUAAUUUACAGGCAGCAGACCUUUUGACAGGUGUAUCAUCUUAGUCUCUGAUUGUCUCUGCAUUGUGAUUGGUUCCUGUUUGUUAUAUCUACUCUGUUUGUUCACGUCCCUGGUGUUGGUCAUUUGUUGAAUGUUGGUGUCUAUGUUCCUGUUUCCUGUGUGCUCAGUGUUCUGCCCUGUUUUGCCUGCCCGUCUGUUUGCCUGUUUCUUGUUUUGGAUCAAUAAAGGACUGAACUGCAUUUGGAUCCUCACUUGCCUUUGUCUCAUCGCGACAGAAUGGAACGAUGUCCCAGGACACACACACACACCAUAGAGCAGAUAUUUAUGUAUACCUUACCAUCAUACCCAUAUGUUGGCCUUCCCAAAAUUGUUGCUGCACAGUUGAGAGCACAGAAUUAUCAAGAAUGUCUUUGGAUGCUGGAGCAUAAAUACUUCCCCACAAUGAAACUAAGGAGACUAGCCCAAAAACCAGCAUGGCAAUGCCCCAUGCACAAACAAGAUUCAGGAAGAUCACGCAGAAAUUGAGUGGCUUUCACAAAGUCCUGAUCUCAACGCAAUUAAACACCUUCAAAUGGAAUACUGACUGCAAACCAGGCCUUCUAGCCUGACAUCAGUGCCCAAUCUUAAUAAUAAUCUUGUUGCUAAUUGGGCAAAUCCCCACAGCCACGCUAAAAUCUAGUGGGAAGUCGUUCUAGAGGUGGUGUGGAAUUAUUAUUAUAAUAAUAAUAAUAAUAAUAAAGGAGGACUACAUGGGAUAUUCAAUUGCAUGUGUGAUGGGCAAGUGUUUUAGUUGAGAAUUGAAUCCUGUUCCCCAAGAAAUUGCAGAAAGAAUGCAGGUAUGUUUCGAGGACAAAACUAUCCCAGAUUAAACGAUGUAAGGAAUGCUAUAAGAGUAUAUCUGUGUGGACCAGGAGAGUUGUUUGGUUACCGGACAAUGUGUUCAGGACUUCAGCAGAAACACAAGUUGCAUGUUAAACGUGAUGACAUUAUGUGGUUGCUGCAAGAACUUAAUCCAUAAGGGACAGCACAGAGGACAUGUAGAUUUGUUCUACAUUAUAACUCCAUGGGACCAAACAAUCUGUGUGGAUGGUUAUGAUACAAUAAAGCCAUUUGUUUUUGCUAUAUCUGGAUGCAUUGGCGGUUUUUCGAGAUGUGUUCUGCUGCUUAUUUGUAGACCAACUAACAAUAAUCCUGCUGUUAUUGCAGACCUACAUGAAGAAAAUAAAGAAGGUUCAAAUUAUGCAAUGCAUUUAACACUUGACUUGUCAGGCAGAACAAUGCAUGCUGAAUUACUAUAUUCUGUCUGUGAGCCAAGUGAGAUCUGUCUGUUUCCAAGAUCUCUAAGCUGGGAGUAAUUUUACUGCUGUGUAUUUAAUCUGUUAAUUUAAUAAACAAUUACUUCAAAUA
Molecule: long non-coding RNA, 1499 nt
Organism: Tachysurus vachellii
Lineage: Eukaryota; Metazoa; Chordata; Actinopteri; Siluriformes; Bagridae
Exons: 2
Source: RefSeq, a predicted model, not a curated record